This 482-nucleotide ribosomal RNA is filed under the name uncultured bacterium. RNAcentral describes it as "partial 16S ribosomal RNA". It matches the Rfam family "Bacterial small subunit ribosomal RNA", at positions 30 to 507 of the family's 1533-position model. The record is from RNAcentral.
AUUGAACGCUGGCGGCAUGCUUUACACAUGCAAGUCGAACGGUAACAGGCCGCAAGGUGCUGACGAGUGGCGAACGGGUGAGUAAUGCAUCGGAACGUGCCCAGUCGUGGGGGAUAACUACUCGAAAGAGUAGCUAAUACCGCAUACGAUCUAUGGAUGAAAGCGGGGGACCGUAAGGCCUCGCGCGAUUGGAGCGGCCGAUGUCAGAUUAGGUAGUUGGUGGGGUAAAGGCUCACCAAGCCAACGAUCUGUAGCUGGUCUGAGAGGCCGACCAGCCACACUGGGACUGAGACACGGCCCAGACUCCUACGGGAGGCAGCAGUGGGGAAUUUUGGACAAUGGGCGCAAGCCUGAUCCAGCAAUGCCGCGUGCAGGAAGAAGGCCUUCGGGUUGUAAACUGCUUUUGUACGGAACGAAACGGCUCUGGUUAAUACCCGGGGCUAAUGACGGUACCGUAAGAAUAAGCACCGGCUAACUACGUG